UUUCUCUUUUUAAAAUUUUAACUGAACAAAAAACUUUCUUCGUUUCUAAAAAUUGUCUCUUCCCCUCUAUUUCCUAUCAAUCAAACGAAUCCUAAAAGUCACGAUCAUAAUGUGAUGUUGAUCAUGGUAGAGCAGCCAUGUCGAGAAGCACGUGGACCACGGCCAACUGACAGGCCAAUAAAAACUAUGAGCAAUAUAAAUAAUUAAGUCUGUCUAACAAUUGACAGUGUGGUGGCUAUUUUAUCCAAAAAGAGCAUAAUGGAAAUG
This 267-nucleotide long non-coding RNA is filed under the name Elaeis guineensis (African oil palm). Its description in RNAcentral is "long non-coding RNA (EGUI_LNC005763)". Lineage: Eukaryota; Viridiplantae; Streptophyta; Magnoliopsida; Arecales; Arecaceae. The record is from RNAcentral.